GUACAGCUGACGAGUCCCAAAAUAGGACGAAACGCGUGUCCUGGAU
Molecule: non-coding RNA, 46 nt
Filed under: Schistosoma mansoni
Lineage: Eukaryota; Metazoa; Platyhelminthes; Trematoda; Strigeidida; Schistosomatidae
Source: RNAcentral